RNAcentral lists this ribosomal RNA (253 nucleotides) under uncultured bacterium. RNAcentral's name for it is "partial 16S ribosomal RNA". It matches the Rfam family "Bacterial small subunit ribosomal RNA", at positions 524 to 776 of the family's 1533-position model. The record is from RNAcentral.
UACGUAGGGUGCAAGCGUUGUCCGGAAUUAUUGGGCGUAAAGAGCUUGUAGGCGGUUUGUCGCGUCUGCUGUGAAAUUUCGGGGCUCAACCCCGAACUUGCAGUGGGUACGGGCAGACUAGAGUGUGGUAGGGGAGACUGGAAUUCCUGGUGUAGCGGUGAAAUGCGCAGAUAUCAGGAGGAACACCGAUGGCGAAGGCAGGUCUCUGGGCCACUACUGACGCUGAGAAGCGAAAGCAUGGGGAGCGAAUAGG